Molecule: long non-coding RNA, 541 nt
Organism: Phoenix dactylifera (date palm)
Lineage: Eukaryota; Viridiplantae; Streptophyta; Magnoliopsida; Arecales; Arecaceae
Source: RefSeq, a predicted model, not a curated record
AAGCAUACAUGCUCCAAACCAGGAACUUCGAAAAAUGUUUGUUCCCAGUGCAAAGUCUUACCCCUUAGAUGCGUUAAUGGAUGACUGCAAGGACUAUUUCCUCCAAACUGGACGCAGAGUAACCUUUGAGUAUACACUUUUAGCUGGUCUCAAUGAUAGAAUAGAGCAUGCAGUAGAACUUGCAGAAAUGCUUCAUUCGUGCGGUCGGGGUUAUCAUGUGAACCUGAUACCUUUCAAUCCUAUAGAAGGUUCUGAAUACCGAAGGCCAUAUAAGAAAGCGGUAUCAACUUGAUGGAUUACACAUUCAAUUCUGUUUUUUGGUUCCUAAUAGAGCAAGCAGCAGAGCUUGGUUGACUGGGCUCGCCCCAAGCUUAAUGACAAUAUUGUAGAGAUGAUGAUGCCGACCCUUGAUACAUAUUGUAGAUUGUGUACUUAGGAAUUUGACUUGUAUGUUUUUAGAAUGUUUUUGAAGUACAAUGUAAUCAAAUAUGAUAAUAUGAAUGCAAUCAAAGUUCUUGUUUGUGACUCAUAUUUUGUUAUA